GCUUUGGUAGUACAGCCCGGUCUAGUAUGGGUGGCUGUCGUCCGCCGACCCGAGUUCAAAUCUCGGCAGGGGGC
RNAcentral lists this transfer RNA (74 nucleotides) under Candidatus Bathyarchaeota archaeon. RNAcentral describes it as "tRNA-Asp". The record is from RNAcentral. Lineage: Archaea; Thermoproteati; Candidatus Bathyarchaeota.